This 465-nucleotide ribosomal RNA is filed under the name Terrahaemophilus aromaticivorans. RNAcentral's name for it is "bacterial SSU rRNA". It matches the Rfam family "Bacterial small subunit ribosomal RNA", at positions 30 to 483 of the family's 1533-position model. The record is from RNAcentral. Lineage: Bacteria; Pseudomonadati; Pseudomonadota; Gammaproteobacteria; Pasteurellales; Pasteurellaceae.
AUUGAACGCUGGCGGCAGGCUUAACACAUGCAAGUCGAACGGUAACAUAAAGAAGCUUGCUUCUUUGAUGACGAGUGGCGGACGGGUGAGUAAUGCUUGGGAAUCUAGCUUAUGGAGGGGGAUAACUACGGGAAACUGUAGCUAAUACCGCGUAGAAUCGAGAGAUGAAAGUGUGGGACCUUCGGGCCACAUGCCAUAGGAUGAGCCCAAGUGGGAUUAGGUAGUUGGUGAGGUAAAGGCUCACCAAGCCGACGAUCUCUAGCUGGUCUGAGAGGAUGACCAGCCACACUGGGACUGAGACACGGCCCAGACUCCUACGGGAGGCAGCAGUGGGGAAUAUUGCGCAAUGGGGGCAACCCUGACGCAGCCAUGCCGCGUGAAUGAAGAAGGCCUUCGGGUUGUAAAGUUCUUUCGGUAGCGAGGAAGGCAUUUAGUUUAAUAGACUAGGUGAUGGACGUAACUACA